CCGAUCACAAAGGGGAGCCAUCUGGCUGAGAAUGAGUAAACUCUAAACCCUCUGUACCUGUUUCGAUCAUGCGAACGUAGGAAUUGUGACGAGUUAGAAG
Molecule: non-coding RNA, 100 nt
Filed under: Enterococcus asini
Lineage: Bacteria; Bacillati; Bacillota; Bacilli; Lactobacillales; Enterococcaceae
Also listed under: 1 other name
Description: TPP sequence
Rfam family: TPP riboswitch aptamer (THI element)
About the family: Vitamin B(1) in its active form thiamin pyrophosphate (TPP) is an essential coenzyme that is synthesised by coupling of pyrimidine and thiazole moieties in bacteria. The previously detected thiamin-regulatory element, thi box was extended, resulting in a new, highly conserved RNA secondary structure, the THI element, which is widely distributed in eubacteria and also occurs in some archaea.
Source: RNAcentral